RNAcentral lists this ribosomal RNA (1116 nucleotides) under Triticum aestivum (bread wheat). RNAcentral describes it as "partial small subunit ribosomal RNA". Lineage: Eukaryota; Viridiplantae; Streptophyta; Magnoliopsida; Poales; Poaceae. The record is from RNAcentral.
AUGGGGAUGCCCAUGCUGAAGCGGUUCAUGUCCAUGCAGUCGGAGCGGCGGCAUCGCCAGAUCCGAGCCCGUGCCCGUGCUGGAUGUGUUUCUUCUUCAUUGGCUAAAAGAAAAAAGGAGGUCUGCCAACAUGACGAUGUUUCUCCGAGUGAUAAACGAUUGAGAUGUUCAGGGGUGAACCUUCCAGAGGAUAUCUGGCACCACAUCCAUUCCCUACUGCCACUACGGGAUGCUGCCCGUAUUGCCUGCGUGUCCCGCACCUUUUUACGAUCCUGGAGAUAUUAUCCCAACCUCAUCUUUAAUAGGCAUAUACUGGGCUCAAAUAGCGAUGGACGUGGAAGGGAUUUCAUCAGAACAAUCGACCACGUUCUGAAAAAACACUCAGGUGUUAACGUAAAGAAACUCACACUGGACAUGUAUAAUUUUCCCGAAGUCACCAACGCCUGUCGGCAGCGGCUAGAUGGUUGGCUUCAGAUUACUAUGAGACCAGGGAUUGAAGAAAUAAACCUCCUUAGCCUGGCUAAUGAAGCAUACAUGUUUCCGUGCUGGCUGUUAUCUGAUGAUAGGAUCAAGGACUCAAUUCGGUGUCUCAAUCUCAGCUCUUUUGCUUUCCGCCCCACAGUCAAGCUCAGUCCCUUUAAAUGUCUGGCCAUGUUACGUCUCAAUUAUGUGUGUAUUACUGGGUACGAGUUAGGGUGCCUUGUUUCCAACACUCUUACCCUGGAACGGUUGGAACUUAAUGGUUGUGGCGACUUGGAUUGCCUGAAGAUACCUUCCCAGCUUCAGCGGCUUAGUUGUCUGAUGGUUUCAGGUUGCUUUAGGCUGGAUGUGAUAGAUAUCAAAACCCCGAACCUUCGCGUUAUCAGGUUGGAUGUAGAAAAGGUUAAAAAACUCUCACUUGGAGUAUCAUUGGAACUGAAUGAGCUAUGCAUACACGGUCCAGACUUUGCGAGUUAUGCCCGUUUGAAGCUCCUCUCCAAUGCGCCAAAUGUCGAAAGUCUUUACCUGAAGUUGAUUGAUGAGAGAGACUUCAGUCUCGCUAGUAGUACCGCUUGGACUUCGACGUUUAGCUUGUUACCUCAGCUACGAUCUUGUGCCCUCGGCAGGAUCUGGUAG